UGUAACACGUGGGUAACCUACCUAUAAGACUGGGACAACUUCGGGAAACCGGAGCUAAUACCGGAUAAUAUGUUGAACCGCAUGGUUCAAUAGUGAAAGAUGGUUUUGCUAUCACUUAUAGAUGGACCCGCGCCGUAUUAGCUAGUUGGUGAGGUAACGGCUCACCAAGGCAACGAUACGUAGCCGACCUGAGAGGGUGAUCGGCCACACUGGAACUGAGACACGGUCCAGACUCCUACGGGAGGCAGCAGUAGGGAAUCUUCCGCAAUGGGCGAAAGCCUGACGGAGCAACGCCGCGUGAGUGAUGAAGGUCUUAGGAUCGUAAAACUCUGUUAUUAGGGAAGAACAAACGUGUAAGUAACUGUGCACGUCUUGACGGUACCUAAUCAGAAAGCCACGGCUAACUACGUGCCGGCAGCCGCGGUAAUACGUAGGUGGCAAGCGUUAUCCGGAAUUAUUGGGCGUAAAGCGCGCGUAGGCGGUUUUUUAAGUCUGAUGUGAAAGCCCACGGCUCAACCGUGGAGGGUCAUUGGAAACUGGAAAACUUGAGUGCAGAAGAGGAAAGUGGAAUUCCAUGUGUAGCGGUGAAAUGCGCAGAGAUAUGGAGGAACACCAGUGGCGAAGGCGACUUUCUGGUCUGUAACUGACGCUGAUGUGCGAAAGCGUGGGGAUCAAACAGGAUUAGAUACCCUGGUAGUCCACGCCGUAAACGAUGAGUGCUAAGUGUUAGGGGGUUUCCGCCCCUUAGUGCUGCAGCUACGCAUUAAGCACUC
RNAcentral lists this ribosomal RNA (773 nucleotides) under uncultured Staphylococcus sp. RNAcentral's name for it is "bacterial SSU rRNA". It matches the Rfam family "Bacterial small subunit ribosomal RNA", at positions 109 to 869 of the family's 1533-position model. Lineage: Bacteria; Bacillati; Bacillota; Bacilli; Caryophanales; Staphylococcaceae. The record is from RNAcentral.